AUACUUACCUGGCAGGGGAGAUACCAUGAUCACAAAGGUGGUUCACCCAGGGCGAGGCUCAGCCAUUGCACUCCGGCUGUGUUGACCACUGCGAAUGGGGGUGAGCCGUACAGUAGUGCAAUUCAAUCGAAGACCAUUGGCUUACAAUCCACAGUAAAACUUGC
Molecule: small nuclear RNA, 164 nt
Organism: Pungitius pungitius (ninespine stickleback)
Lineage: Eukaryota; Metazoa; Chordata; Actinopteri; Perciformes; Gasterosteidae
Product: U1 spliceosomal RNA
Exons: 1
Source: RefSeq, a predicted model, not a curated record